GACAUAGGUGGCGAACGUUAUCCGGAAUUAUUGGGCGUAAAGGAUGCGUAGAUGGUAGAAUAAGUUGCUGGUCGAUGCCAAACUCAAUUUGACGGAAGCUAGCAAUACUGUUCUGCUAGAGGGCAGGAGAGGUUGAUGGAAUUCUGUGUGGAGCGGUGAAAUGCGUUGAUAUCGGAAGGAACGCCGGUGGCGAAAGCGACACACUGGGUCUCAACUGACGCUGAGGCACGAAAGCCAGGGGAGCGAACGGG
This 251-nucleotide ribosomal RNA is filed under the name uncultured bacterium. RNAcentral's name for it is "partial 16S ribosomal RNA". It matches the Rfam family "Bacterial small subunit ribosomal RNA", at positions 524 to 776 of the family's 1533-position model. The record is from RNAcentral.